CAGCAGCCGCGGGAAUACGAAGGGUGCAAGCGUUACUCGGAAUUACUGGGCGUAAAGCGUGCGUAGGUGGUGGUUUAAGUCCGUUGUGAAAGCCCUGGGCUAAACCUGGGAAUUGCAGUGGAUACUGGGUCACUAGAGUGUGGUAGAGGAUAGUGGAAUUUCCGGUGUAGCAGUGAAAUGCGUAGAGAUCGGAAGGAACAUCUGUGGCGAAGGCGACUAUCUGGGCCAACACUGACACUGAGGCACGAAAGCGUGGGGAGCAAACAGGAUUAGAUACCCGUGUAGUCCCUGUCUCUUAUAC
This 301-nucleotide ribosomal RNA is filed under the name uncultured bacterium. RNAcentral's name for it is "partial 16S ribosomal RNA". It matches the Rfam family "Bacterial small subunit ribosomal RNA", at positions 509 to 807 of the family's 1533-position model. The record is from RNAcentral.